AACGAACGCUGGCGGCGUGCCUAACACAUGCAAGUCGAACGAGAAAGGGGCUUCGGCUCCGAGUAAAGUGGCGCACGGGUGAGUAACACGUGGGUAACCUGCCUCUAAGAUUGGGAUAACUCGUCGAAAGAUGAGCUAAUACCGAAUAAGACCACAGUUCCCGCGGGAACAGGGGUCAAAGGUAGCCUCUGCUUGCAAGCUAUCACUUAGAGAUGGGCCUGCGCACCAUUAGCUAGUUGGUAGGGUAACGGCCUACCAAGGCAAAGAUGGUUAGCUGGUCGGAGAGGAUGAUCAGCCAGACUGGAAGUGAGACACGGUCCAGACGCCUACGGGAGGCAGCAGUGGGGAAUAUUGCGCAAGGGGCGAAAGCUUGACGCAGCAACGCCGCGUGAGUGAUGAAGGCCUUCGGGUCGUAAAGCUCUGUCGGGAGGAACGAAUGCUCCUGAGGUUAACAGCCUCGGGAGGUGACGGUACCUUCAAAGGAAGCACCGGCUAACUCUGUG
Molecule: ribosomal RNA, 503 nt
Filed under: uncultured bacterium
Lineage: Bacteria
Description: partial 16S ribosomal RNA
Rfam family: Bacterial small subunit ribosomal RNA
Source: RNAcentral